Molecule: ribosomal RNA, 165 nt
Filed under: uncultured bacterium
Lineage: Bacteria
Description: partial 16S rRNA
Rfam family: Bacterial small subunit ribosomal RNA
Source: RNAcentral
UAGGGAAUCUUCGGCAAUGGACGAAAGUCUGACCGAGCAACGCCGCGUGAGUGAAGAAGGUUUUCGGAUCGUAAAACUCUGUUGGUAGAGAAGAACGUUGGUGAGAGUGGAAAGCUCAUCAAGUGACGGUAACUACCCAAAAAGGGACGGCUAACUACGUGCCAC